GAUCGCAGCUACCAUGCAGUCGAGGGGUACGGGAAGUGCUUGCACUUUGCCGACGACCGGCGCACGGGUGCGGAACGCGUAUGGAACCUGCCCCUGUCAGGGGAAUAGCCCAGAGAAAUUUGGAUUAAUGCCCCAUGGUAUCCCAUCACCACAUGGUGUAGGGAUUAAAGAUUUAUCGGACAGGGAUGGCCAUGCGUACCAUUAGCUUGUUGGUGAGGUAACGGCUUACCAAGGCAACGAUGGUUAGGGGCCCUGAGAGGGGGAUCCCCCACACUGGUACUGAGACACGGACCAGACUCCUACGGGAGGCAGCAGUGAGGAAUAUUGGACAAUGGGCGGGAGCCUGAUCCAGCCAUGCCGCGUGCAGGAUGACUGCCCUAUGGGUUGUAACCUGCUUUUUAUACGGGAAGAAACUUGUCCACGAGUGGACAGCUGACGGCACCGUAGGAAUUCUGACCGGCUACCCUCC
This 469-nucleotide ribosomal RNA is filed under the name marine bacterium CS-56. Its description in RNAcentral is "bacterial SSU rRNA". It matches the Rfam family "Bacterial small subunit ribosomal RNA", at positions 42 to 505 of the family's 1533-position model. The record is from RNAcentral.